CCUACGGGAGGCAGCAGUGAGGAAUAUUGGUCAAUGGACGAGAGUCUGAACCAGCCAAGUAGCGUGAAGGAUGACUGCCCUAUGGGUUGUAAACUUCUUUUAUAUGGGAAUAAAAUGUUCCACGUGUGGGAUUUUGUAUGUACCAUAUGAAUAAGGAUCGGCUAACUCCGUGCCAGCAGCCGCGGUAAUACGGAGGAUCCGAGCGUUAUCCGGAUUUAUUGGGUUUAAAGGGAGCGUAGGUGGAUUGUUAAGUCAGUUGUGAAAGUUUGCGGCUCAACCGUAAAAUUGCAGUCGAAACUGGCAGUCUUGAGUACAGUAGAGGUGGGCGGAAUUCGUGGUGUAGCGGUGAAAUGCUUAGAUAUCACGAAGAACUCCGAUUGCGAAGGCAGUUCACUGGACUGCAACUGACACUGAGGCUCGAAAGUGUGGGUAUCAAACAGGAUUAGAUACCCGUGUAGUC
Molecule: ribosomal RNA, 460 nt
Filed under: uncultured bacterium
Lineage: Bacteria
Description: partial 16S ribosomal RNA
Rfam family: Bacterial small subunit ribosomal RNA
Source: RNAcentral